Molecule: long non-coding RNA, 1388 nt
Organism: Equus quagga
Lineage: Eukaryota; Metazoa; Chordata; Mammalia; Perissodactyla; Equidae
Exons: 3
Source: RefSeq, a predicted model, not a curated record
GGGAGCCAGGCCGUGCAGGGCCUCGUAGGCCACUAGAAAUUCUUUGGCUUUUGCUGUACGUGAGAUCUGAAGUCCCCGAAGGCUUGGCUUCUUAGAGGAGUGACAAGUUCUGAAUUGCGUGUUGCUAGGAGCCCUGUGGCUGCUUGGUGGUGAGGAGGCUGGAGUUGGCCUCGGGGUGAAGCAGAGAGACCAGCUAAGAGGGCGCUGCCCAGAAAUCCUGGUGACAGAUGGUGGGCCCUGUGGGUGAAGCCUGUGUGCCCUUGUUGUCCUGCAGAGGGAACAAUCAGGACGAGGAGGAGAACCAGGUGUCAGCGUGAAGAAAAUGAGAGCGCUGGGGAGAACGAAGGCAGGCUGUUUCCUUCAGUGCAUUCAUUAGCAACUAUAUCAAGGAAUAGCCUCAGUGCAGCGAGGGCAGCCCUUGAAUGAGAAAGUUUCAAUCACAAGGACUGCCAGAUGCAGAUGGACUGUCUCUAGUCCUGGCCUCUUCCCUGCGCCUGGUGGGUGAGCAGGCCAGGCCUAGCUGAACGUCUUCGUGGGCCACUUCUUAUGGAGUGCUGUUUGUUUGGCACGUUUACAUCAGACGUACAGUUUCACCAGCCAAAGCAAUGACAAGGGAAUUCCAUUCCUGGCUGGGUCUUUCCCUGAAGGCAUCAGAGGGCAUUCAUGUAUAUUGUCUAUACCACCUCUCUCCCACCCAUUUCCUUCAAAUCCCCAGGCCAUGAGGAACACAUUUCUCCAUCCCAGACUGCAGUGGUUUCUUGCCACUCUACCACCACCAUCCCCACUCCCUUCUCCUAGCAAGAAAGAGUCCUAAGGAGAAGAAGGGUCCAGUAACCACCAGACCAUGCCAGAUCCUCCUUAGUGGGUUGGCUAGAACUCUGAGUCAGGGCACUCACCUGUGUUAGUAAUCUUUAUUCUGUCAAAAUCUUAAAAAUUUUUAAUUAAUGACUAUUUAGUUUCAUAUUACCUUUACUUUAGUUACUAAGCCACACUAACACAAACUCACACUCAUACACAUACACGCACACACUCAUGUUACAAUUAUUUUAGAGAUUGUAAACUUUUAGAUAUUAUUUGUUUUGACAUUGCUAUCACAAUUAUGUGUUUAAUUUGGUUUGAAUGUAAACUUUUCCUGAAUGACUCAGCAAUAAAUGUGAGUUGUAAAUAAGAGAACUAAUUUACAAAUAGCUAUUCCUCUUAUUACAUAGAAUGUAUUAUCCUUACCAUUUUUAAAUAUUAUGAAGAAUAUAUAGAGUGUAAGCUUCUUGAGGACAGAGAUUUUUGCCUGCUUGUGUUACUGCUGAUUCUCCAGUGCCGAGAUUGGUACAUGACUCAUAGUAGGAGCUGAAUCAUUUAUUUUGUUGUUUUUGUUAAAAAGGAAAUAUAUA